UGGAUUAGAAACCCAAAUCAAAUUUGAUAAAAUGCUUAUGCCUAAAUUUGAUGAUCCCCAGAAAAGUAAGUAAAGGAUACAGAUUUAAAAUGCAUUAUUGAGUGGAAAUAAAAAGAAGGAAAUUUUUUCAAGAGUCAUUCUUUCCAGUCAGCACUGCUGUUACAGCAUUUCGUUGAUGGAAUAUAAAGCAAAAAUGGUACAUAACAGCAGAUGGGACAUUUCCAUUUAUCAUGGACAGAUUCACCAGUUUAUUGUGCUGUUUCAUAGGAAAAGAAAUGUCUGUCAUAGCAGUCAACUCUGAAGAAAAUCCUCAAGACACAGAAUCAAAGGUCGACUGGGCAGCCCAGGCUCCUGCUUUUAGAUAGGUGUGGUCUUCAUGAUUCCUUUUAUCCAUGAGAUGGAUUCCAUCUG
This 411-nucleotide long non-coding RNA is filed under the name Bos taurus (domestic cattle). RNAcentral describes it as "long non-coding RNA NONBTAT016839". The record is from RNAcentral. Lineage: Eukaryota; Metazoa; Chordata; Mammalia; Artiodactyla; Bovidae.